Molecule: non-coding RNA, 707 nt
Organism: Astyanax mexicanus (Mexican tetra)
Lineage: Eukaryota; Metazoa; Chordata; Actinopteri; Characiformes; Acestrorhamphidae
Source: the annotation of a RefSeq genome assembly
AUGGUGGGAGUUUUCUCCUCAGCUUUGAUCAAGUGUAUCUUUAUACUGAAGGAUCAGCAGGAGCUUCAUGAUGAUCAGAGGAAGUAUAGAGUGGUGUGUUUAGAGCAGCAGGUUUUUGUACGGACGCUGAAUGAGUUUGUAUCACUGUGGUACACUUUCGGUGGAGGAACUAAACUGGACGUUGGACGUGAGACUCCUCCCACUCUUACAGUCCUGCCCCCGUCCAGUGCAGAGCUGGAGCAGGGGGAGGUCACACUGCUGUGUGUGGGCAGCGGGGGCUUCCCCUCAGACUGGAAGCUGAGCUGGAAGGUGGGCGGCAGCAGCAGGAGCUCGGGGGUCCGUCACAGCCCCGCUCUUCUGAAGAAGGACCACGGCCUCUACAGCUGGAGCAGCACCCUGACCCUCCAGCAGCAGCAGUGGAUGAAGAACACAGUGACCUGUGAGGCCACCAAGAACUCCCAGUCUGUAGCCAGUAAACCAGUGAGCGCAGACCAGUGCUCUCACCUGCUGUGAACACACACACACACACACACACACACAGAUACACACAUAAACACAGAAAUACACACCCCUCUACUUCAUUAAAGUCACUGUCUGUAGCUGAACUGUGUGUUAGAUGUGUUUGAACCUGGUUUACUUUGUAUUACUUUUGUCUUUUGCUUCAUUUUCUGUUUGAAUACAUAAUAAAAGUCUUUUUUGAGCUCCUA